UAGACAUAGAAUGAAAUUCAAAACAGUGUGGCUGUGGCCAUUGAUUGACACAUCAAAUUCAUCCAUUGACUGGGACAAUUUAGGUGAACGUUUGUAUGUAACGACCACUGCUCACUAUGUACUUUUUAAAGACACUUAAACUAUGGGGUCACCAAAGGUUCUCAACACCUUAAUAAAGUAAUUCGAAAAAUUAAUCAGAAAUAAAACGAUGUUUUGAUUUAUAUCAAUUAUAUAAAUCAAAACAUAAAGGUUAUUCCUGAUUAA
Molecule: long non-coding RNA, 264 nt
Filed under: Mytilus galloprovincialis (Mediterranean mussel)
Lineage: Eukaryota; Metazoa; Mollusca; Bivalvia; Mytilida; Mytilidae
Source: RNAcentral